UUGGAAUGUGUCUAUCCCAUGCUACAAGGUAAAAUAUAAAUUUGUUUUAUAAUUGUAAAAAUGCCUGCUCUGAACAUGUGAACUCAGACAAGAAGAGUGGCUCCUUCCACCCAUCGAGGAGGGCUAUCAAAAAGUAAAUGAGCCAUUGUAGGGCAAAAGUUUUGUUGAUUGCCCCAUCCACCCAUGGAGAAGCACAUGCAGAAGGCCUUGGCCAUCAGUUUGAAUGCCAGAAGAGGGAACUAAAAAUAGCGAAUGAAGAUUUUCCAUCUCUUUGCUGUUUGGACUCUCAGAUGGACUGGAGCUAAGAAACAAAUAGCAGAGAUCCCCAGAGUCAACCUGGGUUAAGUCCUAAAGAGAUAUUCAAUACUGAAGGAUUGCUAUGUCUGUCACUUUUUGAAUGAAACAAACUCAUUUAUGCAUAUAUGUUUACUUACUUUAACCUGUAAAUAAUUCUCUUGUUUCUUUUUCCUAGUUAACAAACCAUUAGUUAGUUACAGGAUUGGCUACAGGUGUUGUCUUUGGUGUGAGAUCUAAGGUACAAAUUGAUCUGAGUGCAUGGAACAACGGGAUCCAAAUCUCAGUUGGGACCUCUAGGAAUACAGUACGACUAACAUGGCUGCUACUCUGAAACCUACAAGAGAAAGUUAUUCCUGCUGUACUUCCAGUCCCACUGCAGACUCAAGGCUCCACAGAAAAGUCAUCUUCAAGCCAGGGCCGGCUCUAAGUUUUUUGCCGCCCCAAGCAGCAAAAAGAACAAACAAAAAAAACCUGCUGAAUAUGCCACCACCAGAGAGAACAGGAACGUUGGAGGGAGCUGCCGCCGAAUUGCCGCCUAUGGUGAGACCCAAGUCAGAAGAGUCGCCACCGAAUUACCGCUGUGGGAAACAAUGGAGGGGUGCUGCUGCUGAAUUGCAGCCAGGGCUGCUGCCGGAGUGUCACCCCAAGAACAGCCGGAGUGACGCCCCAAGAACAGCCGGAGAGCCGCCCCUUCAGCAGCACCACCCCAGGCACCAGCUUGCUUAGCUGGUGCCUAGAGCCGGCCCUGCUUCAAGCACAUUUUAUAACAUACAUAAAUACAUACAUAACACACAUACUCAACUUUAUUGCUGGGGAAAGAUGCCAGAGAGCUUAACCCAGAGUGUGAGGUUUUGUAUUUAUCCAUAAAACAGGAACAGCAGUGAGACCUUCCUUUGCCUGGAGUGAUAACUUACAAGUGCUCCUUAUGCUUUCCAGCUGUGGUGCCUAUCAACACCAGCUGUUUUUGACACCAAAACGCACCUGCUGGGAAUUGGACUGAGACACCCAGAACUCUUUGCCCAGAGGCCACUGAACAGUCAUUGCAUAACAAUAAUUGGUCGCUACCAAUUUGCGAUGGAGGUGACCCACAAUCUGGAUAUGAAAGGAGCCACCACUCCUUACUAGUCCCCUGAGCCAUCCAACUCCCCAGAAUACAAUAACUCAGGAAUGUCUAUCCAAGAGGAACCUCUGAACUUUUGGAAUCAUAGUCUGUGGUGUGAAUGGUGCAUAUAUCGACCCUCAGUUAAUAAUGUCAUGUGGCGGGUUGGGCUAGACCAGUGCCCUUCACUCAGGAUAAAUGUAACAAGUAAGCUCCUUUACGAAACAGAUCACUGAAACAAUAGGAGCUACCACUCAAAACACAAGCCAUGCAGGGUCAGUCAGAAACUGAGCUAGGUGGGUGGAGAUGUUUUGCUGCGUGUUAUUGGGUGGAGAGAGCGCUUGUCGAAACAGAUGGGACAGAAGGCAGCAAGGAAGCACCAGAUGCAGCCCGUGAAGUACUAGGAGCAUGACUUUGAGAAAAAGCUGAGAGAGCUAUCAGGUUCAGUACUGGCUGGACAGGGGCUUAAGCAACAGUGAGCACAGAAACUGCCUCUUGCCGUGUGAGUCCGACUGUGUUCAGUGAAACAGGACUCGGCGGUUUGGAAAAAAAAUAGUUCUGAAAGAUUUUGUUCAGAUUGAACAUCUGAAUUUUAUUAUAGAUCACAGAGACCCCAGCUGAGACCAGGCCCCCGUUAUGCUAGGAGCUGUAAAGACACAAAGUAAGAGACAGUGCCCCAAAGGACUCGCAGUGGAACCAGACUAGAAAUAGGAGUGGAAAUGACUUGCCUAUAGGCACAGAGCAGGUCAGUGGCAGAUCCAGGAGUAAAACCCUAGUCUGCCUAUUCCUAGACCAGUCCCAUCUCUCCACAGGACCAUGAACUGAUGGAGUUGAAUUCCUGGCUGGUUUAUAUCCUGAUGUAGAAAGAUGGGUUAACUUUAUAAAGAAAGGGAAUGGUGGAAAUAAAUCAUGGAAUCCUUCCUUUUUCUGGUUCCUAGAGGGGACCAGGAAGUGUUGUAGGAAGAACUUAAUACAAUGAGGGAUGGCUGGAUAAGAGUAAGAGCUCUCUGUGCAAAAGCACACAUCUAUUACCUCUCUGCACAUGCAGCAGAAUGAGGCAGAGUAGCAGUGAGACCGCAGCAAUAUAAUGAUGCAUCACAAAUGUAUUUUCCCCAGAGAGAAACACCUCCCAGGCAGCAGGCCGCGUUCUCCCCCAGCUUGCAGAAUGAAAAGUGCAUGCGUCAUUUCAAAGUGGUGGCUCUUACUGGGGUGACAGAACUGAGUUUCUACGCGAAGAGGAAGAACUGUAGAAAGAACUAUGGAAACGCAUCCCAAGGUUGAAUUCUGGAACAGCGGCAUACCCUUGGACUGGGUGAGCACCCUUCAGUAGGUGUUCAGGGACUCGAGUGAUGAGGGCCAGGUAAGUAGAUGAUAGAUAGCUGUAGCUAGUUCUUCCUUCAUGCUGUGUAAUUUCCGGAGAGACAGUUCCGGCAAGCAUGGCUCCUGUAGGAACAAUACAUAUAAUAGAUAUACCCCUGAUCCUUCCUUAAACCUUGAUCCUCACAUGCACCAUCAACACUUUUGGUGGUGUGGUUAGGGGGAUAGAGGAAGGUAGGCAGGGCCCAUAGCUGUAGGCAAACCUAGCUUAAGACAUCACAUUAACAUUUAACAGCCUAAGUCAGGUCCAUUGAGCUCAGCAGUAAUUAAAGCACAUUUGACACUACCCCAAGAUGAUACCCAGAAACACAGACCAAUGGAAUUGAUUGACCAGAGAGGCUCUUCCCCAUCCCCCAGAGCUUGGCAGCAAAGUCUAUGCGAAUUAGGCAUCUAGUAUAUAGCAUCUCUCUAUAUAGCCAACCCCCAAAGGCCUAUCCACCAUAUUAAAAAUGAAUUGCUAUUUUGUGCAGGUGUGUGCGAAUAACGGAAACAGUCAGAAGUCCUUUAUUCGGUCCCUCGUUACUGUGUGCCACCCUCUGCAGGGAAAUAUUCACCGCAGCAUUAAAUUUUAUGGCUAUAAUGACUAAAGGUCCCUACUGAGAUCCGGGCUCAUUGUGCUAGGUACUGUACAGAGAGACAGUCCCCACGCUGAAGAGCUUACUGCUCUACUAAACAAGACAGGCAGCGGGUGGGAGGAAGACAUGCAAGCAGAAGGAAUA
This is a long non-coding RNA of Dermochelys coriacea (leatherback sea turtle), 3492 nucleotides long. RefSeq lists it as uncharacterized. The record is from RefSeq and is a predicted model, not a curated record. The transcript is spliced from 3 exons. Lineage: Eukaryota; Metazoa; Chordata; Testudines; Dermochelyidae.